GACGAACGCUGGCGGCGUGCCUAAUACAUGCAAGUAGAACGCUGAAGGAGGAGCUUGCUUCUCUGGAUGAGUUGCGAACGGGUGAGUAACGCGUAGGUAACCUGCCUGGUAGCGGGGGAUAACUAUUGGAAACGAUAGCUAAUACCGCAUAAUAUUGACUAUUGCAUGAUAGUCAGUUGAAAGGUGCAACUGCACCACUACCAGAUGGACCUGCGUUGUAUUAGCUAGUUGGUGGGGUAACGGUUCACCAAGGCGACGAUACAUAGCCGACCUGAGAGGGUGAUCGGCCACACUGGGACUGAGACACGGCCCAGACUCCUACGGGAGGCAGCAGUAGGGAAUCUUCGGCAAUGGACGGAAGGCUGACCGAGCAACGCCGCGUGAGUGAAGAAGGGUUUCGGAUCGUAAAGCUCUGUUGUAAGAGAAGAACGAGUGUGAGAGUGGAAAGCUCACACUGUGACGGUAUCUUACCAGAAAGGGACGGCUAACUACGUG
RNAcentral lists this ribosomal RNA (495 nucleotides) under uncultured bacterium. RNAcentral's name for it is "partial 16S ribosomal RNA". It matches the Rfam family "Bacterial small subunit ribosomal RNA", at positions 28 to 507 of the family's 1533-position model. The record is from RNAcentral.